AUGGUCCAUGAUGAAAUAUCUUUUUUCAACCGUUCACCUUCACGACCAGAACCACGUCUAAUCGAUCCAGAUCGAGGUCAAGUCCUCGUCCUCGUCCCCUUCAUUGUGUGUAGUCGUGAAGGGGUUUGUGAAGAGAAGCACAUGAAGUGGAAGAUGGAAGAUAGAAGGAGGAGGCCACGGAGUAUAACACAUGUCAGCUGUCAAGCUAAAUUGGUCAUUCCAAGACAGGAGGAAACAGGUCGGUGGUUUGUCAAGGAUUUCAUCGAUGAACACAACCAUCCUCUAGCUCCUCGGGAUAUUCGUCUUUUGUGUUCACACAGACGAAUUAGCUAUUAGCAGAAAGCGGACAUUGCAGACAUGGAAAAAUCUGCGAUCCGUAAACACCAUAUUAUGGAUAUCUUGUGCAUGGAAUAUGAUGGAUAUGAUAAGGUUGAAUGCACGAGGAGGGACAUUUAUCAUUUUUGCCAUGCUAGUAAGCAGGAGUCAAUCGCUACUGGUGAUGCUCAAACGGUGAUCAGUCACAUGAUGGCGCGGCGAGAGCGAGAUCCAAAUUUUUUAUUCAAGUACUUGGUUGAUGAACAUGGCCAUCUGAAGGGACUAUUCCGGUCUGAUAGUCAAUCCCGACUUGACUAUGAGGCUUUCAGAGACAUUAUUGUUUUUGGUAGCACAUAGAGAACCAAUAAGUGCAAUCUGCCAUUUGUGCCAUUUGUCGGGUUGAAUCACUACCGCAUCACUAUUAUUUUUGGAUGUGGUAUCAUUUCUCAUGAAACAAGCCAGGCAUACGAGUGGAUGUUGCAGACCUUUUUUGGUGCCAUGGCACAAAAACAUCUGAUAUCUGUGAUCACAGACGGGGACUUUGCAAUGCAGAGAGCAAUCAGGAUGGUCUGGCCCGACUCAAACCAUAGGUUGUGUAUAUGGCACAUUCAAUAGAACAUUGUGCGUCAUCUAGAUGAUGAUGCGGUAAAGGAAUUCAGAUCUUUCAUAUAUGAUUCAUCUUCCAUUUAAGAGCAUGAGAGAAAAUGGAUACAAUUUUUACAACGGAUUAAUGUAACCAAUGAGGAGUCCUAGCUGCAUCAGAUGUAUCACAUGAGAAGGUUGUGGUGUGCUCCAUAUCUUGAGGGGCGUUGUUUCCUAGGAUUGAGAAGUAAUUAGCGGAGUGAGAGCUUGAACUCUGUGCUACAUUUUGUUAGAAAGCUUCUGCUUGGCGCCCAUUUUGAUACUAACAGUUUUCAUCACAUUAAUUUAUUCAAAUCAUAUCAGAGUGCAUGUAUGGUACCAAAUCCCUGUAUCAUGGAGUUAUUGGCAUUUUGGGGUUUUCUCGUGUCCGAUAGGCAGCACAUCGUUCCGAGGGCUACCAUGGACAGAAUGUUGAGGGUUCAGAUUUUUGGAGUAAAUUUAGAGGAAUUGAUUCCUAUAGGAAAAUAG
Molecule: ribosomal RNA, 1425 nt
Filed under: Triticum aestivum (bread wheat)
Lineage: Eukaryota; Viridiplantae; Streptophyta; Magnoliopsida; Poales; Poaceae
Description: partial small subunit ribosomal RNA
Source: RNAcentral